CAUGCUCACUCUCCCGGCCCCCCACACUCCCAUUGCCAAGCCGCUUUCCGGGCUCCAACGCCCUGCUGUCAGCCUCAGCUUUCCCCGGGAGGGCGCCGUAUGUGAACUCAGAGAAUCAGACGGAAGCAAAGUCUUUCCGAGGACCACCCGGCCCGAACAAGUCAAGUCCAAGAAGCGCGUUAAACUCCGUCCCAAGGCCGCAGGGACAGAGUAGAUGAAGAUACGGAGCGAGCUUUGUUCAGCUAAACCUUGCACGCAGCUCCUCCAGUCCUUUCCCUCCCACUGUCAUCUUUGGUUAUUCCACCCCCCUCUUCGGCCCCUCCCACUUGUAUCUUGGCGGGCUGGGUCGCCUGCGCCGCCCUCUGAGUUUUGGCUGCACGGAGCGGUUGAAGGACAGCACUCAGACGGAGAGUCAACAUGGCAGCGUUGUUUAGGCGAAGCUGCGGGGUCCUGAGAAAUCUUUCUCAUUUUGACUGGCGAUCACAACAUACAAAAGCCGCCGUACAACGUGAACGAGGAUUGGGGUUUAGUUUUGAGUUGACUGAACAGCAGAAAGAAUUUCAGGCUACUGCUCGUAAAUUUGCCAAGGAGGAAAUAAUCCCGGUUGCUGCAGAAUAUGAUAAAACUGGCGAGUACCCUGUCCCCAUAAUUAAAAGAGCCUGGGAACUUGGUUUAAUGAAUACACACAUUCCAGAAAGUUGUGGAGGCCUUGGACUUGGAUCUUUUGAUAGCUGUUUAAUUACUGAAGAAUUGGCAUACGGAUGUACAGGAAUUCAGACUGCUGUUGAAGCAAAUUCUUUAGGGCAAAUGCCUGUUAUUAUUGCUGGAAAUGCUCAACAACAAAAGAAGUAUUUGGGGAGGAUGACUGAAGAGCCAUUAAUGUGUGCCUACUGUGUAACAGAACCUGGAACAGGCUCUGAUGUAGCUGGUAUUAAGACCAAAGCAGAAAAGAAAGGAGAUGAGUAUAUUAUUAAUGGUCAGAAGAUGUGGAUAACCAAUGGAGGCAAAGCUAAUUGGUAUUUUUUAUUGGCUCGUUCUGCCCCGGAUCCUAAGACUCCUGCUAGUAAAGCUUUUACUGGAUUUAUUGUGGAAGCAGACACUCCAGGAGUACAGAUUGGAAGAAAGGAAUUAAAUAUGGGCCAGCGAUGCUCAGAUACAAGAGGAAUUACCUUUGAAGAUGUGAAAGUGCCUAAAGAAAAUGUUUUAAUUGGUGAGGGGGCUGGUUUCAAAAUUGCAAUGGGAGCUUUUGAUAAAACCAGACCUCCAGUAGCAGCUGGUGCUGUGGGACUAGCAAAAAGAGCUUUGGAUGAAGCUACCAAGUAUGCCCUGGAGAGGAAGACUUUUGGAAAGCUGCUUGUUGAGCACCAAGCAGUAUCAUUUUUGCUGGCUGAAAUGGCAAUGAAAGUUGAACUAGCUAGAUUAAGUUACCAGAGAGCUGCUUGGGAGGUUGAUGCUGGCCGCUCAAAUACCUAUUAUGCAUCUAUUGCAAAGGCAUUUGCUGGAGAUAUUGCAAAUCAGGUAGCUACUGAUGCUGUGCAGAUUUUUGGAGGCGCUGGAUUUAAUUCAGAAUAUCCUGUGGAAAAACUAAUGAGGGAUGCCAAGAUCUAUCAGAUUUAUGAAGGUACAGCACAAAUUCAAAGGCUUAUUAUAGCUCGUGAACACAUUGGCAAGUACAAAAAUUAACAGGAUCGCUAUAGAGCCCUGGGUGGUGUGGCUCAGUUGGUUGGAGCUUUGUUCAGUACAUCAAAAGGUCCUGGAUUCGAUCCCUGAUUGAGGCAUGUUUGGGAGUCAACUGAUCAAUGCUUCUGUCUCUCUUCUCCUUCCUCUCUAAGUAAUAAAAUUCUCCUUCAAAAAAAUUGCUUGGGGAAAAAUUACUAUAGAAACAUGAUUAGUAGAACAUAAUCCACUAUUUAAGCUACAGAAAAAAGAAAGGGUUUCAAGAUUUUUCCCAGUGAAAAUCUUAAAAUAAGUGCUCUUAAGUAAACAUGUGCAACUGAUUCUAAUAGUAAUUUUACCUUUUUUAACUUUAUGACUUGCCUUUCCUCAAAUAGAUUUGGUUUCAUUAAAAUUAUGUGUUGUUCUUAGUACCACUGUACUCGAAUUGUAUUAACCUUGAAAAAUACAUUUGUUUCGUUAUUUCAACCUUUUAAAAUUAAAGUAGCAGAAGUUCCUUGGAAUGUCAAUAUUUUCCCAAUGACAGAAACAUGGGUUGAUGAAAGUAUUCAGGAUGUUUUAAAAUUUACAUUGAGAAAACAUUGUAGGAUAUGAUCCCAUCAAAUAACUUGCCAGUGACUUUCUAAACUUAAUGAUAUUGUAGUAGAGUAGUUCAUUUUGCUACAAUUUGGAAAGUAUUUGUUUUCAGUUUGUAUAGUAAUAGU
RNA transcript from Phyllostomus discolor (pale spear-nosed bat), 2378 nucleotides. It is a transcript of the gene named acyl-CoA dehydrogenase medium chain, with no coding region annotated. The record is from RefSeq and is a predicted model, not a curated record. The transcript has 13 exons. Lineage: Eukaryota; Metazoa; Chordata; Mammalia; Chiroptera; Phyllostomidae.